Molecule: ribosomal RNA, 207 nt
Filed under: uncultured bacterium
Lineage: Bacteria
Description: partial 16S ribosomal RNA
Rfam family: Bacterial small subunit ribosomal RNA
Source: RNAcentral
AGCGUAGACGGACUGGCAAGUCUGAUGUGAAAGGCGGGGGCUCAACCCCUGGACUGCAUUGGAAACUGUUAGUCUUGAGUGCCGGAGAGGUAAGCGGAAUUCCUAGUGUAGCGGUGAAAUGCGCAGAUAUUAGGAGGAACACCAGUGGCGAAGGCGGCUUACUGGACGGUAACUGACGUUGAGGCUCGAAAGCGUGGGGAGCAAACA